This 253-nucleotide ribosomal RNA is filed under the name uncultured bacterium. RNAcentral's name for it is "partial 16S ribosomal RNA". It matches the Rfam family "Bacterial small subunit ribosomal RNA", at positions 524 to 776 of the family's 1533-position model. The record is from RNAcentral.
UACAGAGGUCCCAAGCGUUGUUCGGAUUCACUGGGCGUAAAGGGUGCGUAGGUGGUCGGGUAAGUCUGAUGUGAAAUCUCCGAGCUCAACUCGGAAACUGCAUCGGAUACUAUUCGGCUAGAGGGUUGGAGGGGGGACUGGAAUACUUGGUGUAGCAGUGAAAUGCGUAGAUAUCAAGUGGAACACCAGUGGCGAAGGCGAGUCCCUGGACAACUCCUGACACUGAGGCACGAAAGCUAGGGGAGCAAACAGG